CCUACGGGAGGCAGCAGUGAGGAAUAUUGGACAAUGGGCGCAAGCCUGAUCCAGCCAUGCCGCGUGCAGGAAGACGGUCCUAUGGAUUGUAAACUGCUUUUAAUACAGGAAGAAACACCUCUACGUGUAGAGACUUGACGGUACUGUAUGAAUAAGCAUCGGCUAACUCCGUGCCAGCAGCCGCGGUAAUACGGAGGAUGCAAGCGUUAUCCGGAAUCAUUGGGUUUAAAGGGUCCGUAGGCGGUUUAAUAAGUCAGUGGUGAAAGCCCAUCGCUCAACGAUGGAACGGCCAUUGAUACUGUUAAACUUGAAUUAUUAGGAAGUAACUAGAAUAUGUAGUGUAGCGGUGAAAUGCUUAGAGAUUACAUGGAAUACCAAUUGCGAAGGCAGGUUACUACUAAUAUAUUGACGCUGAUGGACGAAAGCGUGGGGAGCGAACAGGAUUAGAUACCCUGGUAGUCCACGCCGUAAACGAUGGAUACUAGCUGUUCGGAGCAAUCUGNGUGNGAGAGAAGAGAGUAAGUAUACCACCGUCGGGUAGGUACGUUACGACGAGAAGAGAAACGUACGAAAGUAAAGUUAGUACGGACGUAGAGACGUACGACGACGGACGACGACGAGGGGAGGAGG
RNAcentral lists this ribosomal RNA (630 nucleotides) under uncultured bacterium. RNAcentral's name for it is "bacterial SSU rRNA". The stretch from base 1 to 532 matches the Rfam family "Bacterial small subunit ribosomal RNA", at positions 338 to 873 of the family's 1533-position model. The record is from RNAcentral.